Molecule: ribosomal RNA, 252 nt
Filed under: uncultured bacterium
Lineage: Bacteria
Description: partial 16S ribosomal RNA
Rfam family: Bacterial small subunit ribosomal RNA
Source: RNAcentral
UACGGAGGGUGCAAGCGUUAUCCGAUUUAUUGGGUUUAAAGGGUCCGUAGGCGGAUCUGUAAGUCAGUGGUGAAAUCUCACAGCUUAACUGUGAAACUGCCAUUGAUACUGCAGGUCUUGAGUGUUAUUGAAGUAGCUGGAAUAAGUAGUGUAGCGGUGAAAUGCAUAGAUAUUACUUAGAACACCAAUUGCGAAGGCAGGUUACUAAGCAACAACUGACGCUGAUGGACUAAAGCGUGGGGAACGAACAGG